UUGGAGGGCAAGUCUGGUGCCAGCAGCCGCGGUAAUUCCAGCUCCAAUAGCGUAUAUUAAAGUUGUUGCAGUUAAAAAGCUCGUAGUUGAAUUUCGGGACCAGUAUGUUGGUCGUGCUUCGGUACGUACUGUCAUUACUGGUUUCUCCCUUCUGAAGAACCUUGAUGUCAUUAAUUUGGUGUCUUGGGGAAUCAGGACUGUUACUUUGAAAAAUUAGAGUGUUUAAAGCAGGCAUACGCUUGAAUACAUUAGCAUGGAAUAAUGAAAUAGGACGUUUGAUUCUAUUUUGUUGGUUUCUAGGAUCGACGUAAUGAUUAAUAGGGAUAGUUGGGGGCAUUAGUAUUCAAUUGUCAGAGGUGAAAUUCUUGGAUUUAUUGAAGACUAACUACUGCGAAAGCAUUUGCCAAGGAUGUUUUCAUUAAUCAAGAACGAAAGUUAGGGGAUCGAAGACGAUCAGAUACCGUCGUAGUCUUAACCAUAAACUAUGCCGACUAGGGAUCGGAUGAUGUUAUUUUAAUGACUCAUUCGGCGCCUUACGGGAAAC
This 544-nucleotide ribosomal RNA is filed under the name uncultured Glomeraceae. RNAcentral's name for it is "SSU rRNA". It matches the Rfam family "Eukaryotic small subunit ribosomal RNA", at positions 548 to 1098 of the family's 1831-position model. The record is from RNAcentral. Lineage: Eukaryota; Fungi; Glomeromycota; Glomeromycetes; Glomerales; Glomeraceae.